AUUGAACGCUGGCGGUAGGCCUAACACAUGCAAGUCGAACGGCAGCACAGUAAGAGCUUGCUCUUAUGGGUGGCGAGUGGCGGACGGGUGAGGAAUACAUCGGAAUCUACCUUUUCGUGGGGGAUAACGUAGGGAAACUUACGCUAAUACCGCAUAAGACCUUCGGGUGAAAGCCGGGGACCUUCGGGCCUGGCGCGGAUAGAUGAGCCGAUGUCGGAUUAGCUAGUUGGGGGGGUAAAGGCCCACCAAGGCGACGAUCCGUAGCUGGUCUGAGAGGAUGAUCAGCCACACUGGAACUGAGACACGGUCCAGACUCCUACGGGAGGCAGCAGUAGGGAAUAUUGGACAAUGGGCAAAGCCUGAUCCAGCAAUGCCGCGUGAGUGAUGAAGGCCUUAGGGUUGUAAAGCUCUUUUACCCGAGAUGAUAAUGACAGUAUCGGAGAAUAAGCUCCGGCUAACUCCGUGCCAGCAGCCGCGGUAAGAGUGUGUGUA
This 492-nucleotide ribosomal RNA is filed under the name uncultured bacterium. RNAcentral's name for it is "bacterial SSU rRNA". It matches the Rfam family "Bacterial small subunit ribosomal RNA", at positions 30 to 533 of the family's 1533-position model. The record is from RNAcentral.